AUACGGAGGGUCCGAGCGUUAUCCGGAUUUAUUGGGUUUAAAGGGUGCGUAGGCGGUUUUAUAAGUCAGCGGUGAAAUUUUCCGGCUCAACCGGGAUACUGCCGUUGAUACUGGCGUGCUAGAAUAUGGUUGCUGUGAGUAGAAUGUGUGGUGUAGCGGUGAAAUGCAUAGAUAUCACACAGAAUACCGAUUGCGAAGGCAUCUCACAAAGCCAUUAUUGACGCUGAGGCACGAAAGUGUGGGGAUC
Molecule: ribosomal RNA, 247 nt
Filed under: uncultured bacterium
Lineage: Bacteria
Description: partial 16S ribosomal RNA
Rfam family: Bacterial small subunit ribosomal RNA
Source: RNAcentral